CCUACGGGGGGCAGCAGUGGGGGAUAUUGCACAAUGGGGGAAACCCUGAUGCAGCGACGCCGCGUGGGUGAAGAAGCGCCUCGGCGCGUAAAGCCCUGUCAGCAGGGAAGAAAAUGACGGUACCUGAAGAAGAAGCCCCGGCUAACUACGUGCCAGCAGCCGCGGUAAUACGUAGGGGGCAAGCGUUAUCCGGAUUUACUGGGUGUAAAGGGAGCGUAGACGGUGAGACAAGUCUGAAGUGAAAGCCCGGGGCUCAACCCCGGGACUGCUUUGGAAACUGCCUGACUGGAGUGCUGGAGAGGCAAGCGGAAUUCCUAGUGUAGCGGUGAAAUGCGUAGAUAUUAGGAAGAACACCAGUGGCGAAGGCGACUUGCUGGACAGUAACUGACGUUGAGGCUCGAAAGCGUGGGGAGCAAACAGGAUUAGAUACCCCAGUAGUC
RNAcentral lists this ribosomal RNA (440 nucleotides) under uncultured bacterium. RNAcentral describes it as "partial 16S ribosomal RNA". It matches the Rfam family "Bacterial small subunit ribosomal RNA", at positions 338 to 795 of the family's 1533-position model. The record is from RNAcentral.